CUGUUAUAAGGUUAAUAUUAUCCUACAUUUAAGCUGUAUGCCUGUUGUUUUUAGGACUAUGGGGUGAACUGGGAACUACAGGACGUAAAGGCAGAGCUAAUUUCCGUUUACGGCAAGUGCGAGAGUGGGAAGAUCUUGAUUGAUGAAAUUGAUUGGCAUGCAGCGCUCGCUGCAGUACACAUCAAUCACCAAAACUCUGUUUUGGCUCAUCGCUGCAGCUGGUUGACCCAGAAUGCUGAUAUCAUUAAGGACUUAACAGAGGAAAAUGUGUGGCAGAAUGAUUUAACGAAAGAAAGUGUUAAAUGCAUGAGUCUACGCGCAGACAUAGAGUUAUUUGCUCUUAUCGCCUUCGACAAGGAUGAAGACCCAGAAAGCAGCGAUUUUCUAGAAAGAAGCAAAUGCCUGCUUGAUGACUGCCCGAAAGACUUUGAUGAAAACCCGGACGAAGUUUAAGAACGAAAAUAGGCUGGACACUCGAACAGCUUCUCCACAAACAGUGAUGCACAACAAAAUCUUUGAAGACCUUUGUAAUAAGUUUAUAAUAGCCAUUGAAAUAUGUAUUUAAUCGUUGAAAAUUACAAUUAAAACUUGCAUUUCAUCUUGAAUAAACAAUG
Dreissena polymorpha is the source of this 614-nucleotide long non-coding RNA. RefSeq lists it as uncharacterized. The transcript has 7 exons. Lineage: Eukaryota; Metazoa; Mollusca; Bivalvia; Myida; Dreissenidae. The record is from RefSeq and is a predicted model, not a curated record.